Molecule: unclassified non-coding RNA, 428 nt
Filed under: Hevea brasiliensis (rubber tree)
Lineage: Eukaryota; Viridiplantae; Streptophyta; Magnoliopsida; Malpighiales; Euphorbiaceae
Source: RNAcentral
GAUGUAAAAUAUUUCUGACCUCCAAUUGUCCCGUUACAUGGAUACCCAAGUUUGUUUCGAGCUUCGAGUUCUAUCAAAAGCAGAGGCGUGGAGUUUAUUUGUGACAGUGGUUGGUGAUGUCACAAAUCAGGCUUUGUGCUUUAUAGCAACUGAAGUAGUUAAAAAAUGUGCAGGUUUGCCCCCUUUAAUUGUUACAGUUGCAAAAGCUUUAAAAUAUAGGGACUUGAAGGAAUGGAAGGUUGCUUUGGAUGAGUUAUCUAUGGUUGAUAAUAAAGGAAUUCAGGCAAAAGUAUACUCAGCCCUGGAUUUGAGCUGCAAUCAUCUGGCCACUGAUGAACUUAAGUCAUUUUUCUUGCUUUGUGCUCAAAUUGCUCAGAGUGAUAUUCAAAUCGGGGACUUGCUGUUGUACAGUAUGGGUUUGGAUUUGC